UACGUAGGUCCCGAGCGUUGUCCGGAUUUAUUGGGCGUAGAGCGAGCGCAGGUGGUUUAUUAAGUCUGGUGUAAAAGGCAGUGGCUCAACCAUUGUAUGCAUUGGAAACUGGUAGACUUGAGUGCAGGAGAGGAGAGUGGAAUUCCAUGCGUAGCGGUGAAAUGCGUAGAUAUAUGGAGGAACACCGGUGGCGAAAGCGGCUCUCUGGCCUGUAACUGACACUGAGGCUCGAAAGCGUGGGGAGCAAACAGG
Molecule: ribosomal RNA, 252 nt
Filed under: uncultured bacterium
Lineage: Bacteria
Description: partial 16S ribosomal RNA
Rfam family: Bacterial small subunit ribosomal RNA
Source: RNAcentral